This 725-nucleotide ribosomal RNA is filed under the name uncultured bacterium. Its description in RNAcentral is "bacterial SSU rRNA". It matches the Rfam family "Bacterial small subunit ribosomal RNA", at positions 95 to 806 of the family's 1533-position model. The record is from RNAcentral.
GUGGCGGACGGGUGAGUAACACGUGGGUAACCUGCCCUUAAGUGGGGGAUAACAUUUGGAAACAGAUGCUAAUACCGCAUAGAUCCAAGAACCGCAUGGUUCUUGGCUGAAAGAUGGCGUAAGCUAUCGCUUUUGGAUGGACCCGCGGCGUAUUAGCUAGUUGGUGAGGUAAUGGCUCACCAAGGCGAUGAUACGUAGCCGAACUGAGAGGUUGAUCGGCCACAUUGGGACUGAGACACGGCCCAAACUCCUACGGGAGGCAGCAGUAGGGAAUCUUCCACAAUGGACGCAAGUCUGAUGGAGCAACGCCGCGUGAGUGAAGAAGGCUUUCGGGUCGUAAAACUCUGUUGUUGGAGAAGAAUGGUCGGCAGAGUAACUGUUGUCGGCGUGACGGUAUCCAACCAGAAAGCCACGGCUAACUACGUGCCAGCAGCCGCGGUAAUACGUAGGUGGCAAGCGUUAUCCGGAUUUAUUGGGCGUAAAGCGAGCGCAGGCGGUUUUUUAAGUCUGAUGUGAAAGCCCUCGGCUUAACCGAGGAAGCGCAUCGGAAACUGGGAAACUUGAGUGCAGAAGAGGACAGUGGAACUCCAUGUGUAGCGGUGAAAUGCGUAGAUAUAUGGAAGAACACCAGUGGCGAAGGCGGCUGUCUGGUCUGUAACUGACGCUGAGGCUCGAAAGCAUGGGUAGCGAACAGGAUUAGAUACCCUGGUAGUCCAUGCCGUAAA